UCUGCAGGUUUCACGAGAUCCUGAAGAACCUAGCGGAGAGCGACGAGGGCAAGCUGCACAUCCUCAAGGUGGUCUAUGAAGUGUGGAAGAACCACCCGCAGAUGACCGCCGUUUUGGUGGACAAAAUGAUCCGGACGCAGAUCGUGGACUGCGCCGCCGUGGCCAACUGGCUCUUCUCCCAGGACAUGGCUCACGAGUUCACCAUACUUUACAUUUGGGAGAUCCUGCACUCCACCAUGCGGAAGAUGAACAAACAUGUCCAGAAGAUCCCGAAGGAGCUUGAGGAGGCCAAGGACAAGCUGGAAAAACAGCAACAUAAGAGGG
Molecule: long non-coding RNA, 324 nt
Organism: Nerophis ophidion (straightnose pipefish)
Lineage: Eukaryota; Metazoa; Chordata; Actinopteri; Syngnathiformes; Syngnathidae
Exons: 3
Source: RefSeq, a predicted model, not a curated record